Molecule: long non-coding RNA, 289 nt
Filed under: Cercocebus atys (sooty mangabey)
Lineage: Eukaryota; Metazoa; Chordata; Mammalia; Primates; Cercopithecidae
Description: lncRNA (ENSCATG00000045744.1)
Source: RNAcentral
CACGGUGGAAAAAGAGAGCGAGCGAGAGCGGGGGGGGGGGGGGGGAGGAGAGAGAGAGAGAGAGAGAGAGAGAAAGAGAGAGACCGUGGGCUUCCUGUCACCUUCUCUAACGGAGGAAGAGAAAAUUUUGCAUUGCAGCUAUUUUUUAAUAUAAUGAAUUUUCUAGACAAAGUGGUCCACGUUGAGUGAUUAAGCACCAGAGUUCUUGCCUUGUCUUAUGACAACCUGACUGUUUGUAUGUAUGUAUUCUUUAUCAAAUUGGAAUAAAAAACAAGGAAUUGUGUUUACC